This 738-nucleotide unclassified non-coding RNA is filed under the name Hevea brasiliensis (rubber tree). Lineage: Eukaryota; Viridiplantae; Streptophyta; Magnoliopsida; Malpighiales; Euphorbiaceae. The record is from RNAcentral.
UUUUUUUUUUUUUUUUUAAAAAGGAGUUUGAGAUAACCCAUGCAUGGCUCUAACUGUAGUUUUUGAGGGGUGGACAAAGAAAGUAAUGAGAGGAAGAGUGAUCAACAGAAGAAUGCAAUCCCUGCAGGAAUAAAAAAGUGCUGUAAGAAUUGAAGUAUCAGAAUUUUUGUUCUAGUAAAACAAUUUCAAAAAGGAAAAGGUUAAAGGUACCAUGGCAGAAGUUCCAGAAUGAGCUGUAGCUGGCUCAUGAUGAAAUUGGUGAGACUAAUGUUCAGCAGGGUCUAGAUUAAAUGAAUGAGUUUGAGCUCACCAAGCAAUGAAAGUUGGUCAAGAUGAAAAGAAGAAACAAGCCACAGGGUCCCUCCAGCUCAAGAACCAAGAAGUUGGAGGUUUAUAUCCAAACCCUCUAGAUGCUACAACCAAAUUUCUUGUGUGGAACAUGAGAAGGUUUAGUAAGCUUCCCAUACAGUGUCAAACUAGUUAAGCUAAGAGGAAGAAGCAAACCAUUUGUGUAGAAUCCCAAAGAUUUGAUUUGUUUUUCCCCUUAAGCUACAACCUAGCCAAUCCCAAAUCAAUCUCUCAACCCUAAAACCUUGAACAAUAACCUGAUCUAAUAUCAAAAAAUUUCAAGCCUAGCAUCCUUAGGGCAUAUCUCAAUGUGGGACAAGUAUUCACAACAAUCCAAAUAGGCUCUGAUACCAUGUUAACUUUUGUAAUUGCUUUACACAUUAAAAUGAC